AGUUCGAAGAGCGUAUAUUAUAGUUGUUGCGGUUAAAAAGGUCGUAGUGCGCUGUCUGCUGAGGAUGACCGGUCCGCCCGCUGGGUGUGUAUCUGGCUUGGCCUUGGCAUCAUUUUUAUUUUGAAGAAAUUAGAGCGUUUCAAGCAGGCAUUCGCCUUGAAUACAUUAGCAUGGAAUAAUAAGAUAUGACCUUGGUUCUACUUUGUUGGUUUUCGAGAACUGAGGUAAUGAAUAGGGAUAGUUGGGGGCGUUCAAAUUUAAUUGUCAGAGUUGAAAUGCUUGGAUUUGUUAAAGACGGACUACCACGAAAGCAUUUGCCAAGGAUGUUG
This 329-nucleotide ribosomal RNA is filed under the name uncultured eukaryote. RNAcentral describes it as "SSU rRNA". It matches the Rfam family "Eukaryotic small subunit ribosomal RNA", at positions 587 to 969 of the family's 1831-position model. The record is from RNAcentral.